Molecule: long non-coding RNA, 1572 nt
Filed under: Macaca fascicularis (crab-eating macaque)
Lineage: Eukaryota; Metazoa; Chordata; Mammalia; Primates; Cercopithecidae
Description: lncRNA (ENSMFAG00000062516.1)
Source: RNAcentral
UUUUUUUUUUUUUUGAGAUGGAGUCUCACUCUGUUGCCCAGGCUGGAGAGCAGUGGCAUGAUCUUGGCUCACUGCAACCUCUGCCUCCCGGGUUCAAGCGAUUCUCCUGCCUCAGCCUCCCGAGUAGCUGGGAUUACAGGCAUCUGCCACCACGCCUGACUAAUUUUUUGCAUUGUUAGUAGAGACGGGGUUUCUCCAUGUUGGCCAGGCUGGUCUUGAACACCUGACCUCAGGUGAUCUGCCCGCCUCGGCCUCCCAAAGUGCUGGGAUUACAGGCGUGAGCCACCAUGCCUGGCCCAAACUGGCAAUGUUUUAAAGGAGUAAGCAAACCCAAAUUACUAACCUUGUGAUCAUUUCUCUCACAGCAUCCCUAAGACUUACAGAGGAAAUUCCAAUGUCUGUUUCAUUCCUGGGGUGGGUGAAUCUCCUAUCUGUAAUAUGAAACAGCAGGAAGUUCCUGCUUCUUAUUUCAGGUAGGAUGCAUAUUCUUUAUUCUGGUUGCUUCUCUGUAAUGGGAGAAAAAAUGAUAAUCAUGGCAAUGAACAGAGGAGGACUGUGAAGCAUAAACUUAAACCCUGAUUGUACUACUAUGUGUGAAAGCCUGGGACUGGUAAAAUGGCUGCUUUGUGCCCUUUCCCAUCUCUAUAGGGAAUCCAUACAAAUCUCUGGACAAUCUGUUACUUAAAGCUGAAAAUUCUAGACCUUAAAAAGAAAGAGAAAAUAUCAGCUUUGCUCAGAGAGAAUCGAUUGUUUAUUAUUUUACAUCUGAAAAUAAAUAUCUAUGGGCAGUUCUAUGUAUAAUCCUAUGUGGUACUUUUAGAUAUAAUAGUAAGAGCAAGUCUCCACCAUUUAAAGAGAACCGCAGGUGUUUGACGUUUUGCUAGGAACCUUGUUAACACUCUCCUGAAACAACCCUACAAAGUAAGUGUUAUUCCUACUCUACAAAUGAGAAAUAGGCUUAAAGAAGUUACAGCACUUACAAAUAGGUCCAAGAUCUGUACUGAGCUCCAGGUUCAAGCGAUCCUCCUACUUCAGCCUCCCAGGUAGCUGGGAUUACAGGACACGCCAUCACGCCCGGCUAAUUUCAUAUUUUUAGUAGAGACGGGGUUUCACCGUGUUAGCCAGGAUGGUCUCGAUCUCCUGACCUCGUGAUCCGCCCGUCUCGGCCUCCCAAAGUGCUGGGAUUACAGGCUUGAGCCACCGCGCCCGGCCGGCUUCAUGUUUCUUAAAACAUUAUGUGGCCUGGCUCCAGCCUGGGCAACAAGAGCAAAACUCUGUCUCAAAAACAAAAAACAAAACAACAAAAAAAACCCAUCACAUACUCAGAAGCAUUUUCAACAUUAUUACAUGUUUCUCUAUUACAUUUUUCCUUUUUUUUUUUAAAGCUUAUCAGCUAUCGUUAGUGUAUUUUAUUUGUGGCUCAAGACACCUCUUCUUCCAGUGUAGCCUAGGGAAGCCAAAAGAUUGGACACCCCUACUCUAAGCCUAAAAGCCUAAUAGCUCACCUUUUCACAACUAUAAUUUUGAGUCACUUUAUGGCAAGUAAUACUCUAAUUAAUAUUAGUCUGCAAU